CGCCUGUUUAUCAAAAACAUGUCUGUUUGAAGGUAUAGAAAGUCUGGCCUGCCCACUGAUAUAUUUAAAGGGCCGCGGUAAUUUGACCGUGCAAAGGUAGCAUAAUCGUUAGUUUUUUAAUUGGAAUCUUGUAUGAAUGGUUGAACAAAAGAAUAACUGUCUCUAUUUUUAUUCGAAUUUAACUUUUAAGUGAAAAGGCUUAAAUGUUUUAAAAAGACGAUAAGACCCUAUAAAGCUUGAUAAAUUUCGGUAUUGAAUUGAAUUUAACUUAUAAAGCAUAAAAAAUUCAGUCUUAAAAGUUUAUUUUGUUGGGGCGACAAUGAUAAAGUGUUGUUAACUGUUUGAGGUAAAGACAAUAAAUUGUUGAUUACUGAUUUAAAUGAUCCUUCAUAGAGAUUAAAAGUUUAAGUUACUUUAGGGAUAACAGCGUUAUUUUUCUUGAGAGUUCAUAUCGAAAGAACAGUUUGCGACCUCGAUGUUGAAUUAAAAUUUCUAUAUAAUUGCAGAAGUUAUAGUAGAAGUCUGUUCGACCUUUAAAUUUUUACGUGAUCUGAGUUCAGACCGG
Molecule: ribosomal RNA, 565 nt
Filed under: Austruca annulipes
Lineage: Eukaryota; Metazoa; Arthropoda; Malacostraca; Decapoda; Ocypodidae
Description: partial 16S ribosomal RNA
Rfam family: Bacterial large subunit ribosomal RNA
Source: RNAcentral